CCUGGGGAAGCGCUUUGUCCACAUCAACAAAAAGCGCGUCCUUGAGGGUGCGCUUUGUUGACGUGGACAAAGCGCUCCCCUAGGG
This is a non-coding RNA of Gossypium arboreum, 85 nucleotides long. NCBI's taxonomy places the organism in Eukaryota, Viridiplantae, Streptophyta, Magnoliopsida, Malvales, Malvaceae. The record is from Rfam.